Molecule: unclassified non-coding RNA, 160 nt
Filed under: Oryza sativa (Asian cultivated rice)
Lineage: Eukaryota; Viridiplantae; Streptophyta; Magnoliopsida; Poales; Poaceae
Description: partial microRNA MIR436d precursor
Source: RNAcentral
ACCUUAACCAAUACGGUAUCGGUUUCCUAAAUCAGGACUUUAGGCCGUUCCGUAAUAUACAAGGAAACGUAACACCCAAGUCAUGAUCUGUUACAUAUUACAUAGAUACAAGUUAUCCCCUAUAACUAGUCGGAUAACCAUGCCGUGUGGGUAUGGGGUA